AACGAACGCUGGCGGCGCGUCUUAAGCAUGCAAGUCGAAUGGCAAGGAGGUGCUUGCACCUCCCUAGAAUGGCGGACUGGUGAGUAACACGUGGGUGACAUACCCUUAGGACGGGGAUAGCUUCCAGAAAUAGAAGAUAAUACCGGAUACGACCACUACAGUUAGAGUGUAGUGAGGAAAGGGGCUACGGCCCCGCCUGAGGAAUGGCCCGCGGCCCAUUAGCUAGUUGGUGAGGUAAAGGCCCACCAAGGCGAUGAUAGGUAUCCGGCCUAAGAGGGUGAACGGACACAUUGGGACUGAGAUACGGCCCAGACUCCUACGGGAGGCAGCAGCUAAGAAUAUUCCGCAAUGGACGAAAGUCUGACGGAGCGACGCCGCGUGGAUGAUGAAGGCCGUGAGGUUGUAAAGUCCUUUUGAACCUGACGAAUAAGCGCGGGAGGGAAUGCCAGCGUGGUGACGGUAGGGUUUGAAUAAGC
This 476-nucleotide ribosomal RNA is filed under the name uncultured Treponema sp. RNAcentral describes it as "bacterial SSU rRNA". It matches the Rfam family "Bacterial small subunit ribosomal RNA", at positions 29 to 491 of the family's 1533-position model. Lineage: Bacteria; Pseudomonadati; Spirochaetota; Spirochaetia; Treponematales; Treponemataceae. The record is from RNAcentral.